Numida meleagris (helmeted guineafowl) is the source of this 1762-nucleotide long non-coding RNA. NCBI's taxonomy places the organism in Eukaryota, Metazoa, Chordata, Aves, Galliformes, Numididae. The record is from Ensembl.
GCCGAGGCACCCCUUGGCCAGCGACUCGGAGGAGGAGGAGCCGCCCCGGUGUAAGUACAUUAUUGUAGGACCUACCAAAACACGACGGGGGAAGGCCGCUGCAAACACCCCCGUUGCGUUCAUGGAUUAUCCACCAUGGGAUGUGGGGGGGGAGGGGGGGGGAAGGGAGAGAGCGAGGCCUCUCGCCCCCCCCCCCACCACCACCCUUGAGUUCCUGUAGGCCCUACAAUAACAAUCUCUGCCCCUCGCUUCAGGUCCCGACGCCGGAGACGCCGCCUCCCCCCGCGUGGUGCCCGAGAGCGACCCCGAAGAGCCGGACGUGCGACCCGGCGCCCACGUGCUCCGAAAACGCCUCCCCCCGGCUUCGACCUUGGGUUGCGCGGAUCUGGACGGCGGGGGACCCAAAAAACGCCGCUUGGGCCCCAAAACCCCCCCGGGUCCGGGGUUCGGGUCCCGAAAUCGCGUCCUGAACCCCGACGUGGCCCAAGGGACCCCGAAACCGCACGCUGGACGUGCCGGCAACGGGCGCUGGGUGCUGGUGGUGGACAGCGACACGGAUGAGGAGGAGGCCGAGCUCCUUCCGCCCGUCGGGCGCCCCGAAAUUCGACGAAAAACCCCAAACGUGCCCCACAGCCCCAGGGGGGAGGCCAGGAUCCCACGGCCCGACGCCGGAGGUCCCGGAGGUGGGGAGCUCGCGGCGGACAGCGACGCGGACGCGGAGGGAGACGGAGCGGAGGAGGGCGUGGGGCGGCCCCGAAAUCAUCAAACGAUCCCAAAUGUCCCAAAAACGGAGGCGGAGAGCCCAGCCCCGGGGCCUGGAGGUCCAAGGGACGAGCGUCGGGCGCCGAGGGCGGACGGCGAUAGGGAUGGGGAGGACGGCGGAGCCCCGACCCGACGGGGGACCCCGAAUUCACCGCACCCCCCCGGUUUGGAGGCUGGGGGUCCCCACGGGGGGCGGCGGGCGCCGGUGGUGGGCGGCGAUCCAGAUGUUGGCUGCCCAGCGGCCCCCCGAGGCCUGGAUCCAGAUGUUGGGGGGGCCAAAAGGAGGCAGCGGCCUCCGCCGGUAGACAGCGAUACGGAUGUGGAGGAGGAAGAGCUGGAUCCAGAUGUUGCCCGCCCGAAAACCCACAAAACGCCCCAAAGUGCCCCAAAAGAUCCAGCUGUGCUCGCAGAGACCCCAAAUUCUGACCUUAAAGGACCUCCAAGCGGACAUCGGAGCGUAGAGGUGGACAGCGAUACAGAUGUUGAGGGAGAAGAGCUGGAUCCAGAUGUUGCCCACCCGAGAAACCACAGAACACCCCAAAUUACCCCAAAGGAUCCAGCUGUGCUCACAGAGACCCCAAAUUCCGACCUUAAAGGACCUCCAAGCGGACAUCGGAGCGUAGAGGUGGAGACGGACACAGACAUUGAGGAAGAAGAGCUGAGUCCAGAUGUUGCCCACCCGGAAAACCACAGAACGCCCCAAAUUACCCCAAAGGAUCCAGCUGUGCUCGCAGAGACCCCAAAUUCCGGUCUUAAAGGACCUCACGUUGGAGAUUGGGGUUUAGAGGUGGAGAGCGACACAGACAUCGAGGGAGAAGAGCUGGAUCCAGAUGUUCCCCACCUGAAAACCCACAAAACGCCCCAAAUUCCCCCGCGGGAUCCAGCUGUGGUGACGGAGACCCCAAAUCCUGACCUGAAAGGGCCUCGGGUUGGAGAUCGGAGCCUCAAGGUGGACAGCGAUACAGAUGUUGAGGGAGAAGAGCUGAAUCCAGAUGUUCCC